This 231-nucleotide ribosomal RNA is filed under the name uncultured bacterium. Its description in RNAcentral is "partial 16S ribosomal RNA". It matches the Rfam family "Bacterial small subunit ribosomal RNA", at positions 524 to 753 of the family's 1533-position model. The record is from RNAcentral.
UACGGAGGAUCCAAGCGUUGUCCGGAUUUACUGGGUUUAAAGGGUGCGUAGGUGGACUUUUAAGUCAGUGGUGAAAGCCUGUAGCUUAACUAUAGAAUUGCCAUUGAAACUGAAAGUCUUGAGUACAGUUGAGGUGAGCGGAAUGUAUCAUGUAGCGGUGAAAUGCUUAGAUAUGAUACAGAACACCGAUUGCGAAGGCAGCUCACUAAACUGCAAACUGACACUGAGGCA